Molecule: long non-coding RNA, 1026 nt
Organism: Bactrocera neohumeralis
Lineage: Eukaryota; Metazoa; Arthropoda; Insecta; Diptera; Tephritidae
Exons: 3
Source: RefSeq, a predicted model, not a curated record
UGGUCGCAUUUUCCGUACGGAAUCAGCUGUUUUCGCUUUUUGUCAACUGAUACAUCAUUUUGAAUUUGAAAAUGAAAAGGAAGAAGAGUGUUUUGUUAACCGAUAAAAUCAUUUUAAAUUUGAAUGUUGAGGACGACGAAUGCUUUAUCCAAAAAUCCAAAUUUAAUAGAUAGUAUUGAUAAAAAAGAAAUGUUUGUACGACAAAAGAGAUGCAUUUUAUUUCAAUCGUACAAAUAAAGAAAAAGCGUGGAAAGCAAUCGCGGAACUAUGCUGUAAAAGUGAUCUAGAAUGCAAACAUAGAUGGAAGCUACUCCGGGAGCGCUUCUGCAAGGAGAUAAAAAGGUUAGAAGCUCCUUCAGGUAGCGGAAUGAGCUACUUAGAGGAAUGGCGUUAUUUAAAACCUCUGAUGUUUCUGAAAGACUCCGUCACACCGCGUCGCACUCGUGAUAAUGCAGAAACAAAUAUAGACUCUGUCUUGGAUUCAUCAAUGAGUGAUAGUUUGAAUGAAAUUUCAUAGCCACCUCGGAAGAAAAAUAAAAGUCUCUACCUAGAAAGUCUCUACCAAAAAUUUGGCGCAACAAUGGGAAACUUAGAUGGCGGCGCCGGCUGAAAGACGUGAAACUGAUGAGGCCUUUUUUGACGACGGUUUUGUGUCUGAUGAAAGACCUGCCAGUGUCGGUCAAAGACGGUUUCCAAGAGAAAAUGAUAUUGGAGUUAUAUCGCUUACGUCCCGAAAAUAGGCAAACAUGAAAUUGAAAACGACAAGAAUUCAAUCUAGUUUCCUUAUUUUAUUUCCUUAUUUUUUAAAAAGUGUUAAAACUGCACAAGUUAUUUCUAACUUCCAAAGAACUUCUUCCACCGUAAUGAUGCAAAUUGGAAGAUUACAUAAUCGAUGGGAUAUUACUUUCAACUUCUCUACGCCAUAUACCGUCAUGAAAAUCUCCAUUAGAGUCCUGCCAAUCAGCAUAGUUGCUUGCAGUAUACAAAGAUGCAUUAACGUUAUUAAACAUAAUAAAAUUAUGUAAG